GGCUAAUUAUGGAGUUAGUAUAAACUCAAUCAAUGCUUUCAAAACACUAUUAUCAUA
This 57-nucleotide transfer RNA is filed under the name Batillipes longispinosus. RNAcentral describes it as "tRNA-Ser". Lineage: Eukaryota; Metazoa; Tardigrada; Heterotardigrada; Arthrotardigrada; Batillipedidae. The record is from RNAcentral.